Molecule: non-coding RNA, 72 nt
Organism: Phrynosoma platyrhinos (Desert horned lizard)
Lineage: Eukaryota; Metazoa; Chordata; Lepidosauria; Squamata; Phrynosomatidae
Source: the annotation of a GenBank genome assembly
GCCUGCAAGGUGUAGUGGUUUGAGCACUGGUCUACAAUUCUGGAGACCAAGGUUCAAUUCCUGGCUCGGCCA